Molecule: long non-coding RNA, 1927 nt
Filed under: Scleropages formosus (Asian bonytongue)
Lineage: Eukaryota; Metazoa; Chordata; Actinopteri; Osteoglossiformes; Osteoglossidae
Description: lncRNA (ENSSFOG00015025834.1)
Source: RNAcentral
GGCAUUAUCAUUGGUGUUUUUAUUUUCUUUUUAACUUUUUUAAAAAUUUUUUCUUAUAAUUACACUAUAUUUUUCACAAAGCACGAACUUGUUUCAUGUGCCAGAACGAGUUAUUUACAGUCACGACAGUUACGUUAUUGACAGAAAGCCUCUUUUGACUAUUUUUUCUUCUAUCCUGCUGUUUAAUUUUUUUCCCUCCUUUUGUGGGCCCAAAGUGCACUGAGCACCGAACCGACACACUUCCUCAAGGAGAAAUUCAGUGCCGUUUUACAGCUCUUGUCCGGUGUUCUGCACUGUCAAUGAUCAAUAACAAGAUGCUGAACACCACUCUAUUUACUCAAUCAACAGCCAGCAGGUUGUAUUUUUAUUUUCAGUCCUUUUUAUUAAGAGGUUCUCCCUUUCUGAGAGCCCAUCGGCAUCGUGGGACAACGCGUAACGUCGUUGGUCUGAGAUAAUCGAGCGGGAGGAGACCGCAGAGCGCGCGACCCGCUGGUGUGCGCGCGCCUGGUAGCAAGCGAGGCAGCGUUCGGUGAUGGCAGUUGACUCUUGCAACAGCACGAAUCAGUUAAGGGUUUCGAGGCAGUUUGGCAGCUUUAAACUCUUAACAAAUACCGCCUGCUGCGAUUUUAGGUGUCUGUACUUUUUCGAAAGAAAUCGAGUCAUGCUUGUUUGCGCGGCGCUGCUGUUUCCGGUGGUAGCGCUCGCGGCCGCAGCGCGUGGCGCUCUCGUUCGGAGACUAGAUGCCGCGGAGGGGUCGGGGACAGCGCUCCCAGAGAAAAUAGAUCUACUGGAGUUCUUCUCCUGGCAAGCAGCAAACAGCGACACCGUGUCUCUCUCCACUGGGCCUGAUGAAUGUAUGAAUCUGCACAUCGGCCAUUAUGCCACCCUUGCUCUGCCCACUUACCAGGCAUUUGGAACCAGUUUUGCAGAUGAGUUCAGUGUGUUGAUGCAGCUGCGCAGCUCCCAGCAGGAGGACCGCAGCUUGCUGACUGUGCUGAGUCCUCAAGGUCACAUUCUGCUUCAGGUCCGCCUUAGUCCCAGAGCCUUGAACUUCAUCACAACACAGCAGCGCCUCUACGAGUUCCCGGUGGUGUUCCUGUCAGAUGGCGAGUGGCACCAUGUCUCUCUCGCUGUAUCAGUGCUGAGUCUGGCCCUCUAUGUAGACUGCAUGCUGGUGGAAAGUGUGGACUGGACCUACCUAGACUUGGACAUCAUCACCGAUAGCUUGCUGAUGGUAGGAGGCAUCAUUGAGGACUUUGAAACUCCAUUUGAGGGAGAUCUCAGACAGUUGACCUUUGUAAUGGGUGAUCCCAAUGCUGCUAAGGACCACUGUCGCCUCCACCUGCCUGUGUGUAGGAGAUCAGUCAAGACGCCAUGAACCCAUAAGACAUCCCAACCCUUGGAGUUACCUAUACAGUCCUCAUCAUGUAUCCUUAAGUGCUUAAAAAAUGGCAAGAGUAGAACAUGUCAUUCAAUAUUGUAUCUAGAAGGAUUUUGCUUUGCAACACAUGUAAAUUUAGCCGACACAGUGUGCAGCUGUUACCCCAUGUGUGGUAUAGCAUACAAUAACAUACACCCCAUGCCUUACCUUUAAAAACUAAAAGCACAGGAAAAUGAGCAUAAUCAAGUCUUCUAAACUCAUGUUGUGACAUCUAUCAUCUCCUUAGAGCUCUGUGUUUACUGGUUUAGUGAUAGCCUUUAAAGUGGCAUUUUUGGCAUAUUCUCUGCUCAGUUUGACUUAUUUUGUUCCAUCUGGUGUCUUAUGCUGUCCACGAAUGACUUAGAACACUUGAUAAAAUUCUGAAAGCUCCAUUUAUGCAAAUGUCACAUUGAUGUAUGAAAAUUAUUAAAGACCCCUGUUAUAAUUAGGAGUGUAUAGUACAGAGCAUAAUUUUAAAAUGUGUAAUAAAAGUGUUUUUUUGUAUCA